CAAUAGUGAAUGAGUAUAUUGCAAUUGCUGAUAUGCAUACUUUGGUGCCAGGGACUGCUAGACAGAAUGAAUAUUGUUGUUAUAAAUUACUCCUCAGAGUAGAGAAAAAAAAGUAAACACUUCUGCUUCAUUCUCUGACAAGUGGCUGUGCUGAGGUUUAUGCCUUUUAGAUUUCCAUUUUGAAUGAGCUGUGUUUUAUUGUAUAAAUGUAAAAAAAAUGCUGGAGCAUUACUUAGAGAAGGUCUUUCAACAUUGUGCUGUUUCUCCCACAUGAGCGCAAUCACUGCGUGUUCCCUCCCCUAUCAUCAACCCUAUACCCUUGGGGAGAACACAGGAAGGAUGAAAAGAAGUUAUUCCUAUAAUGCGAGUCAGAGUCUACCACCUUAAUUCACGAAAAGUGGACUGACUUUUCAUUUGCAAGCUGACCUGUGGCAAAAAAUACAAGGCACACUUUUAAAAUGGACAUUUCAAUUACAACUGCACAAUAGCACUAAAGGGACAGUAUCAAGGUAAGUCUACAUCUUGACCUACUUUUCUUUUUAUUCCUUUAGGCAGGAUUCUUUUUAUAUGUUUUAAAAUAAAUGUAAUGCUUGGGAAAGGAAUUAGGAUGAGGACAAUGGAAACAGAGCUCCUAGAUACAUUACCAACUUAGCCAGAGAAGUGGACGGGUUCUGUGUGUUCCCAGCAGAAGAGCUCAUCUGUGACACACAGGGCACAUUUCUGAGGGUGAGAGCUGGAGCUCCAUCUUCAUGUACUUUCUGUCCUUGGUCCUUCCACUGAGGCAUCUGAAAUAAGGUACAAAAUUAAUGAUAGAUUUUGCCAUUUUGGUAGCUGCCAAACAGAUAUUGGACUGAACACCUUCAUUCAUGUUCUGCAUCCCACAUACCAACAGAACAAUAGACGUUUCAUACAUUACUGCCUUCAAUUACCCAUCUAUUUCAAUCAUCUAUGUCAUAUUAAUAUUUACUUGUCUAUGUUUCUUUUUUUAACUUUCUUAGGAGAAAAGAGCCAGACAUUCACUUGCUUAAAAUGAGUUCAAUUCUCUGGUGGGAUCCAACUUCAAUUCCAGAUCAUGCACAUUUAUAGAUAUGAAAUGAGGAUGCUAAAUCCACUGAAAGAGAGCCAGUUCUUAUCUCUUACUUACAGAUCUUAUUCACUUUCAGAAAAUAAAUGUAUACAGAUGUUGUAUAAUACUAUCAGCAAAAUACAGAGGUGUGACAUACAGGGAAGACAGGUGUCGUGGGCGGUGGGCUGGGCUUUGAGAAAGCAUGCUGUGUUGUUUCUCUGUAAAUUGCUAAAUUCAAAGCACUUGCUUAUAGACUCUAUCUGCACAGCCCUCCCUGUUAUAGCAACAGUUCACAUGCAAACACUUAGACAUGUUGAAGUCAGUGGAAAUAUACAAAAGCUAAACAUUUCUUUACUUUUCUGCUUCAGGGCCUCCCAGAGAGGAAAAAAAAGUAUCUCAUUUUUUCAGGGUAAAGAAGCAGUCAUUGCCUGGUCUACUGAAUGUAUCACUGUGUGGAAUGCAUAUGUUCCCCUCCUCCACAUUCUGCCCUCUGUGCUGUAUUUAGCAUGCUAUAUUCCUUUACUGUCUCAGGCAUAAGCAGAUAUCAUGUUAACAGCAUCAUCUUCAUGUCCAGAAAGAAGAAGAAAAAAAAAAAAAGAUUGAAGAUGUGUAUCAUCUACAUACUAAUACACUGCUCUGGUAGCACUGAUUUGCUCUGCAUUAUCUGAUGAGUAGUUGACAACUUGCAACCUCUGUCACAGCUUGUACUCAAAAGCACUUAUGCGUCAGGACAAUUCUAUCUGGAGGGGGGAAAAAAAAGGUUGAAAAAACAACAGCAUCACGGACUGAGGCUCCUGCAGAAGAGGAAUUUCUUACAGCUAAGUGGGACCUGACAGAGACACGAUGUCUGUCCAGAAGUCUCACUUCCAUGACUGAGUUCCCAGAAUUUUCUUUUUGUCUCCAGGCAAUAGGUAUCUAAACUAUCUUUUGAGGGGGCCAAGUCAGAGGCCAUGUUGGCUCUCUCUUCAAAUAAUAUGACUGGAUGUGACUCACAAUGCUCUCAGAGGGCACCUUCCACAGCACAAUACCCAUCUCAGGUGCCUUACUACACUGGAAGAUUUAAUAUACAGUUGACAGCUGAAUAUACUUUCAGGCAUACCUGGUCAGGCUGUCCAAUGACUUGCAGACAUUUCUCAAAUGAUCUCUCAGAAGAAAAAAGGUAUCUCUUCCGACUCUUCAUUCCAGCUUUGGUGGUGGUAUAUAACUUAUGUGCCUGCUCCCCAGAUCACCGGACAAACCAAAGAGACCGUGAUGUUUGCUUUUUAAAUUGAUAGAAUUUGGCAUUUUGAAAGAAGCUCCCAGCACAAUGGCCUCCCCUGCUGAAACAUGUCAGUAGCCAUCUCUCCUCAUUAUCCAAUGGCCUUUUUGAUGAAUAGCAGCAGCAGUCUUUCCUCGUUAGAGCUAGUUAGCUGAAUGCUGAUCACCAUUGUUUUAGCAUAAUUAUCUUCAGGGUUAGGUGCAGGCCAGGCUGUUCCCCAUUAAUGCUACAAUACUGGAGUUGAUUUUUGUUCACAACUGUUAGCACUAAGGCAUGAAAACAGAUUAUGAAUGAUGAAAAAAAAUAUGCAUCACUUAGUCACGCGGAAUAUACAAGAACUUAUUUUUUUUAUUCCUUCCUUUUUUAGAAGGUAUCACUUCAAAAAUUCUUUGAAGUGUGUAAACGUAUAGUCACAUCAAAUCAAAUACUAUUUAUCUGUUGAACAGGAAGGAAUGAAUAUAUUUUCAGGAAUGCAUGUAUCUCCCUGACUUGAUUAAACUAAACAUAAUCUCCUUAUGUCACUGCGUGUCCGAGACGGGGUAGAGAAAAGGAGAGGGUUGGUACAGCUCAUUGAUUAAGAAACGUGAAGUGAUUGCAUUGAUUAAAUCUAUAACAAUGGAAAGGUUUCAAUAGUUGGAGGGGGGAGGGAAGGAAUCCUUGCAGUAAUCUCUUGUUAACAUGUUACAUGUCCGCUUAUUGUAAGACCUCAGUCCACCACCUCUGACUGCAUGGCUGUUAUGUAAGAUGUUAUUUGUAUUACGAAACUGAGAUUUGAUUGCAAUUCAUUCACACGGCUAGAAGCCUUACAGGGGCUAUGCAAAUCUUCUGAGAAAGCACCUGUUUGUGGUACUCCAGUAUCCUGUUGCAUUUCCCGUGUAAGCCUAUUACCUCAGCUGCAGGAGGGACAGGUCCCAAAGCGCUGGACCCCUCCGGGAAGGGGGAGAAGGGGAGGAGGAGGGUGUGCCUGAGGGGCUGCCUCAUUCUGUUGCUUGUUCUGGUCACGUGUGAUAGGUAGCAAGGCUUGGACGAAGGGUUUUUGUUUGUUUGUUUAGAACUAAAAACUGAGAUUUUCUUUUCUAAGCCAUUGAUUUGAAACUACAUCACAUGGCAUCACUCUCUGCUGUCAUAACACAUAACUGCAGUUUCCUGUACAUGAGCAAGCGGAAGCAACUUGGCAGGACAUUCUCUGAUAGAAGCUCAUUGCUUUCGGUUUCCAUUUGCCCUCACGCUCCUGUCAGGGCCAAGAGAUUUAAAAUGAACAAACGAGAAGAUCAUCUUCUUUCACUCCUGCUGCUCCUACUCACUGCCUGGCUAGCCUAAGGUUUUGGGAUGACCAAGUCCAUGAGAAUUAUGUUGUUCUGUACAGUUGUUAUUUUGUUUGUUUCAGUAAACACAAAGCAUAAUCAGAUGUAAUCAGGCUGUAAGUAGCAUUGUGGAAAAAAAUUCCUGUUCUCACGGAAGUGAGUUGGAGAAGGAAUUCAACGCAGUGCCUCCCUGAGCAGAGCAAUCUUUGUAAAGAGCAAGUGGCCCCACUGCAGAGAGGGUGCCGGAGUGAGCUGAGGUGUUCAUGUGGCGCUGCCAGCUGAAGGUACUGACCAAACUUUUGGAAACACAGUACAGGGAAAGAAAUUUGUUCCAGCAAUUUUCAGGACAGCUAACCUCCACCCAGUUUAUACUUUUUUUUUUGACUACAUGAUUUAAAUAAAUAUUUUUAGUUUCAGUAGGAAGUUAUGCAUUAUUCAAAUGACAGUUCUGAGGCAAUUUAUUCAGAUGCAAAAAGCACUUUAAAUUGAUUUUGAAACUAUUGACAGCAGAGAUGAAAAAAGGUGGGUGGGAGCACAAAGUGGCUUAUAAAAUAUUUACACAAAUAAUUGUAUAUUUCAUAUCUUGAUAGACUUAUAUUUUUUUGAUCACCAAACUACUAACGAACAUUAGUUAUUCUUGACACUGACUUUAAUUAAGCAUGUCUUCAGUUCAUAAACAUGGUGAGUAAGAAGUUGCUCAUUGAGAAGAUUUUUCUAAUCAUCAUUUAAAAAAACAAAACAAAACCAGUACCUUAAGCAGAAAAAGAAAGAAAAGAAAUUAAUAUGGAGACUGUCAUUCUGAACUCACUGAUGUGUUAUAAAGUAAGAGUGUUCAAAGUGGAAUUGUAAUCUAGGGAGGGUAUUAUGUACCUUGCACUACUGAUAAGUUAAGUUGUAGUAUCAUUGUCACUGAAGAAUAGCUUUUGUGAUUUUGUUCUGUCAUACCGCAUGCAUUUUUUUCCCAGUCAUUUAUAUUAGGAACAGCUUUUGUGUGCCACAUAACUCAACCUGGCUCUAAUCUGCAACUGAUUUACUGUUUUUGCCUUCAGGGCCAUCAUCUGUGUAUUUAGUGGACCUGGUGGACACACCAGCUUUGACAUAUUGUACUGGAAGUUUUUCUAUAAAAUCAAGCUUGCCAAACCCCAAGUCAUCAGUCAAACAAAGUCUCAUUGACCGAGUAAAAACCAAGUGAAUUUCUUGAGGUCUCACCCACUGUUAAACAUCCGAUUAUAAGCUUCUUUUAUUUAAUAAAAACCUGAAGGAUGGCCUCAAGCUCAGAAAGCAUUUGUACACAUGCCUACCUUUAAGCAUGCGUGAAGUCUCGUUGAUUUGAAUAUGACUACUUCCUGCGGCAAUGGGAAGUCUGGGAAAAGUAUGUGUAAGGUCAAACAUCCUCUUUUUUGUCUUGAUCUCCUUCUUAUGUGAUCCAUAUACAGUACUGUAUUCUCCUCAGAUCUUGAGAUCAUACAGAGUCACUGCUCCUACCACUGAAAAAUAUGCUUAACUACAAGCAGAUUCUGGGCUCUGUUGAUUGUCCCAGUUCACUUUCUGGAUGCACGGAAGCUUUGCUGGAGUUACUCCUGUCAUGCACUGGUGUAUGAUGCCUGGCUGAGUACCCUGAAACUCCCACCAGCAAUCUCCGGCUCCAUGUGCAACAGUCCUGGCUCGUGCUCGAGAUCCAGCCUUUUACUCAGCUGUGGGUUAGGAGCUCUUGGGAAGCUUGAGUUGUUGAUAUCACAAAACUGUGUGUCAGAGACUGAAAACUGAGCAUUCAGGAAGAGGUGACACUGGACAGAAGAAUAAUGUAGAGUAUAUGUUAAAGCAAAAUAACUAUUGGAAAGGACAUACAACAAAAAUGGUCACUAGUGUUCUUACACUUCUUAUCCCCUACUCUACUUUUCAUGGAAUAAAAUUCGCGCAGGAAUACAAAUAGGAAAUUGAGGGAGAAAAUAAACAAAGAUCCAAUUAUCUUGAGGUUUUGUGUUAUUGCUGUCACUAUGGUGUCACAAUACCUUCCAUGUAAAAUAGGUUUGUUUGGUAAUCGCAGAUUUCCUAGUGUGCUUCAUAACAAUGAAAAGGAAAUUUGAAAAGAACUUGCAUCAAGUUGGGAAGGCUAGAGAGAAUCUGGUUUUAUUUAGAAAUAAAGGAAAGUAACAAUCAUAUCUAUAAAAGAUUACAAUUCAAUGCUGCAAGAGUUAUGCAUUUUUUUUCUCUGAUAUCUUUGCUUAUGGUAUGUGGGAGCUGAAUUGGACUUAUGAUGUCAUAAAGGUCAUUUUAUAGUCAUUCUUUGAGUGUAUUAUUAAGACCUUUUAUAUCUGGUAAAAUAAUUAAAUGUCAAGUAACCACACAUUUAAAAAUAUUUUUCUGGUAUAUAUAUUAUUUCUAAAGUUUUCUAGUAUAAUGAUUUUCUAUAAUAUUUUCUACAGAUUGGUUUUUUUAAUAAAAUUCCUGUUAGCUUCAAUGUGGCCCUAAUUUCACUCCCAAGGCUGUUCUUUCUGACAGCUUGCCCAUCUAAGUAGGCAGUUGCAGUUGUAUGCUUUGCCUUUAAGAAGAAAAGGAAGCUGAGAUGAAGUUUAUACUGUGUAACAUUUGGUUGUGUGCCUUUAAA
This is a long non-coding RNA of Dromaius novaehollandiae (emu), 6236 nucleotides long. RefSeq lists it as uncharacterized. The record is from RefSeq and is a predicted model, not a curated record. Lineage: Eukaryota; Metazoa; Chordata; Aves; Casuariiformes; Dromaiidae. The transcript has 4 exons.